Molecule: long non-coding RNA, 5042 nt
Organism: Pyrgilauda ruficollis (rufous-necked snowfinch)
Lineage: Eukaryota; Metazoa; Chordata; Aves; Passeriformes; Passeridae
Exons: 2
Source: RefSeq, a predicted model, not a curated record
CAUGCGGUGGGAAGGCACCGCGCACGGGGGCUGGAGCCGCUCCGCGCCUGGCGGGGAGACAGCUGGGCCUCCUCCGGACCAGCAGAACGGGGCUGACUCAGCUGCCGGUGCUGCAGAGCCGCGCGUGGGGCUCCACGUGCCCCCACAGCCCGCGGGCUCGGCCCCCCGGGCCCAGGUGAGCAUCUCGGCCCAGGUGAGCAUCUUGAACCCAGGUGAACAUCCUGGCCCAGGUGAGCAUCCCAGGCCAGGUGAGCAUCCUGAACCCAGGUGAGCAUCUUGAACCCAGGUGAGCACUCGGGCCAGGUGAGCAUCCCAGCCCAGGUGAACAUAUUGGCCCAGGUGAGCAUCCCGGACCCAGGUGAGCAUCCUGAACCCAGGUGAGCAUCUUGAACCCAGGUGAGCACUUGGGCCCCGGGGCUCUGGCAGCGUCCCGAGGGGCCGGGAGCAGUGCCGGGAAGCUCUCGGCAGGCAGCAGCUCUGCCAAAGGCAUUCCCAGCUUGGCACGGGACCUGUUCCCCAGGCAAGAAGAGGCACGAAGCCGCUGACACGUUUCUUCCUGUUCCCAUUGAAAACUGCGUCGGAGCAAGGCUGACAGAAAUCAUGUGCUGGGUUUAACAGAUUUCUCCCCAGAAUGAGGCUUCGGCUCAGAAGGGGAGGAUGGAAGGGUUUAAAAAAUUAAUACAGGAUCCUGUUUGCCUGAGAGUACUGUCACAGCACAUUCAGCCAGGCUGCCAGGUCCCUCGCUGGCUCCUCCUGGCCUGCAGGAGUCUGAGCUGGUGCCCCUUGGACAGCAGCGGUUUGGUUUGUGUGGUCAUUAAUAUCCACUGCAUCGGGAAAGGAUUUGCAAAUCAAGUACCAGAAAAUGUUGCCCAUCUGUUGUGAGUGGGAACCUUCAAACUGCAGCAUCACAAACUAUCGCCCAGGACUGAGGGGAGAAAAAAAGGAGGGAAGAAAAGAAAACGGGUUGGAAGUAUGUCCCUUCCUGCUGUGUGUCUGGCUGGCUGCAGGCUGGAAGGGAGGGGGCAGCGCUGGCCCCGAGCAGCCCCAGCUCUCGGGGGCUCACAGCUGCCCUGCUCACCCUGCCAGCGAGCCGGGGUGCAGGAACCAGGGCUGGCUGCCCUGCUCACCCUGCCAGCGAGCCGGGCUGGCUCAGGCUGCGGGAUGGCAGCAGGGCAGCCCCGCGGGCCCAGCAGCGGGCGCUGGGCACAGCCCUGUCUCCCUGCCCGUGAAGAACGAGGGGUUCUGCCGGCACCUGCCGAGCAGCGUGUGGGAACUCGUGGCUGGAUUACGCUUUUGCUGCCCUGGGAGCAACGUGAUGACUGAAUUCCCGAGCAAAAAAACAGAUUGGGAAACAGAAGAUUGCUCAAUGCACCUGCUGGUGAGUCAGAAGGCACAGACCCGGCACAGGGGUACCCGGAGGCAGCAGGGAAUGACCCUGGGGGGACCAGCCCCUCACUCUGGCAGAGAAUUGGCACUCCAGGCUUGGCUCUGGCCUGAGCCCAGCCUGAACAACUGCCGAGGGCAGGGAAUUCCCAGGCCACUGGGCUGGGCUUGGCACCCGAGUCCUGCAGCAUCCCCCAGCCCCAGCCUGCCCUGGUGGCACAGGCACGGCCAGCAAGGGGCCUGUCCCAGGCAGCUGGGGCUCACAGGAACGGGGGCUCAGCAGGUUCUCUAGGGAAGGUGUCUGGCACUGCCAGGCCAGUGUCCGUGUUUACCAACACCUGGCCACAGCAGGCUCCUCCAAAGGAAAAGGACACGGCUAAACCCCAUGAAAGGGCAGCCCAGACCCAGGGUGUGCAUCUCACAGCAGGGACACAGGUCCUCCAAACAGCGUGGAGACAUUCAGGAGAACAGACACAAAGUGACUGAUCCAGGUAUGGGGAGAGGUCAAUACAGACAGGCACGGGGACCCUCGAGAGGGAAUGUUGGUACAGGCUCAGGGACCCCCCAAAAGUUUUAUAGAGCAAGCUGGAUUUUGUGAAUUCCCUCCAGCUCUAUCCUGUGAGCUGCUCCUCUUUCCUCUCUAUCUGUGCAUCUAUUUUAGGAUGACGUUUUCACUUCAGCACAGAUGUUCAGAACUGGGUUUCAUGCAGUAACGAUAUGUUCACAUCAUUUUCCUUUUUGCACCAGAAACCACGAGCUGAGGAGCUGGAGCCAGCAGCAGCUGGCAGAGCUGGUAAGAGCCGCUCUGGGCUGUCUGCCCCCUUUGCUUAGGGCGCGGUGGCCACAGCCAGACCCCUCGGCCACCACGUGUCGGGGUGUCCCUGGCAGCAGCCCCGGCUGCGGCACCGCUGCCCCCCUCAGGGCAGAGCGGCCCCCAAAGCGCCCAAAGCUGCUGGACGAGGCUCUGCCCAGACCGAGCACCGGGCACGGAGGCGAGGGCCGGCAUCGGGAGAAGAGUGCGGCAGCGGGAGGGAAGGACCAGCGGAGCCCCUCCAGGCCAGGGGGCUCCGCGCCCCGCACUGCCCGAGGCACAGCCCUGGCAGCUCCGCCGGGAUUUGCCAGCGAGCACAGGGACCUCGGGAGCUGCCCUGCCGCUGCCCCGGCUCCGACCUGCACACGGAGAGCUCCGGAUCCCUCCAGCCCCUCCCUUCCCCGGGAUGAGCCCCCCCAAAUGCUCACCACUCAUCCCCCCACCAGCCCCUGCGCCAUUCUCCGCACUCCCUGCUGUCUCCUGCCUCCCGUGCCCCGCAGCUGGUGCUGGCAGGUCGCUGAGGCUGUGGCACGGGGCGCUGGGGGCUGUGCCAGCCUGCCGGCCCCGCGCUGUGUGCAUCCCAGACACGCCGUGGGCACAGCUGAGCCCGUCCCAGCACCUCUGCCCAUGCCAGGGCUGUGCCCGGUGCCAGGGCAUCGUGCCACCCGCAGCUGGGACCACAGACAGGGCUCCUUUUGGGCAGGAAAUAUGCUCUUUUGAGAAUUCCAACUAAUAUCUGGAUACAUAAACACCCUCAGAAUUAUUCUGCUUCUUUCUUCCUGCAACUAUUUCCUGCCCAGGGAGCAGAGGUGAUUAGAACUCUUCCCCAGGCUCCUGUUCCUCCCUUCCUGAAGGCCCAGAAUCCUCCCCAGUUCAGAAAAGCCUCCCAGCUGCAGACACAGGAGAUCCUUGGAACAAAAUUCUAUUAUUUUGCUUUUCACAACUGAUACAGUUGUCAUUGCUGCUCCCGUGGUUGUCGUUGUCUGGCUCUGGCCAGCGAGGUGCCACAUCCCAGAGGGGUGGCAGGGACAGCGAGGUGCCACAUCCCAGAGGGGUGGCAGGGACAGCGAGGUGCCACAUCCCAGAGGGGUGUCACAGCUUUGGCAGCAGCUCCUUCUGGCGGCUCUGCUCGGCACCCGAGCUGCUGAAUCGUCCCUGCAGCGACAGCCCCGGGCAGAGCUGCUGCUCCUCCCGGCCCGGCCCGCAGAGCCGCCCAGGACACAGCCGGCCCCAAGGCACGGAGCCCGGGAGCCACCGAGCCGCUGUCGAAGCCACAGAGGAAAAUCGAGCUGGGUUCUUUUUGCCAGUUCUGAACACCGGCACUGCUCAGCACGUUGUUUUUCCCUUGGCAGCUAAAUUGGGGAUAAAUGAAGUGCUGGUGCCAUCCUGAGCAUGGGACCAAGGCAGUGCAGGGGACUGGGUGCUCGGCCAGCAGGAAUGGGUGUCCAGGUGUGCUGAGCUGGGAAACGGGGCCGAUACACCUGUCUGGGAAAGGCCAGCUGGGGUCACAGGAGACACCCGGAAUCCCCCUGGAAAACAACUGCCCUGAGGUGUUUCCUUCAAUCAACUAAAGUUGUGAUGUUGUGAUCAAAAAUUCUGAUUACCAGUAAUUUGUGGGAAAGCGAGGGAGGAACUGCAACACGUGGCAACAGAGCUCCCUCUAAUGUCAGCCGCUGCCGGGCUGCACCCGCUCCCUGCUGCCCCAUUCCCUCACCUCCCUUCCAGUUCCCUUUAUUCCCUGCGCCUCCAUUCCCCGCACCUCCAGGUUUCUUCUCCCUGUUCCUUGCCCCCUGGUGCCACACUCCCCUCACUCCCUUCACUCUGAAUUCCCUGCACCCCCAGCUCCCUGUUCUCCAAUUCCCUGAGGCUCCAGCUCCCUGUGCCCCCAUUCCCCACUCCCCUCAUUCCCCGCAGGGAGGGCCUGGGGGUCCCAGUGUGUCCCUGAACCUCAGAGGUGUUGCCACAGGAAGAUAACAACAGUGGGGGCCGAUCCAGAGAUCCUGGUGCUUUGCAUUUACCCCCAGGCUCUAACAGGAAUAUCCUCAUUUUAAUACACAUCCUGUGGAUGGAACGUGCUGGUGCAGAGAAGCCCCAGGACCAAAUAAAUUGUGGGCAGUCCCACAAGUGCUCAGACACGUUCAAGCCCACGUAACGCAGCGGAGCCUUUUAACCUGGCGGAGGAAAAGAUAAUGAAGAAAGAGAACUUGCAUUAGGGCAAUUUCACUUUAUUUUUUCCAUACAGCAAGGUCAACUAUAGCAGUAAUAAUAAAAUAAGCAUAAACCCAAAUUGCAGCCCAGGACAGAGUACGUAACUGGAGCAACUACAAGCAAAGUAAGUCUGUGGUUACGUAAGAGCAAACCCAAGCGCGCCCGUCCUUCCAGCAGAUGAGCCGGGGGCUGCCGAGCGCAGCUCGUUAAUUCAUUAAUUACUGAUUGGUGUCAGCUCCCAGCCCCACGCCUGCUCCCAGCUUUGGAUGGCCGGGCUCCUGCAGCGCUUUCCGUGAAAAGGGAAGAUCUCCCAGGUUGUUUCUCACCUGCUAAAAGAACAGGACCACUACAGCGAGAAAAGAAUCCCCUACCUACAGCUACGGGUGCUGUUCCGUUUGCCUGUCCAUGGUUGAACUCUGUGAAUGUCAGUAUUUGUUUUGAAGAAUCUUUUUUUGUGAACAAGAAACCACUGAAAUUGUCAGAAACUGGUUUGAAUAGCAUAUAUCUUUAAUAUAUUUUGAUACUUUAAACAUGCAGUAGAUUUUGAAUAAUGUACGGAAUAUCUGAGCCAUGAUUCCCUGGAUGGGCUGAAGUACCUGCUUUUUUUUUUUUGGUUUUUUUUUUUUUUUUUCCUUUUUUU